UCGCCUGUUUAUCAAAAACAUUGUUAAGAAUUUUAAUAAUGCCUGCUCAAUGAAAAAAUUAAAUAGCCUAAAUAUGCUAAGGUAGCAUAAUAAUUUGCUUUAUAAUUGAAAGAUAGAAUGAACGGUAUUACUUAAAAAAUUAUUUUAUUUUUUAAUUGAAAUUUUAUAAAAUUGAAAAUUAUUUUAUUAAUUUUUUAGACGAUAAGACCCUAUGAAGCUUAUUUAACUUAACUUUUUAUUAUGUAACAAAAUUAAUUUUUUUGGGGAAAAAUUUUAUAUUNUUAUAAUUUUUANAGAAAAAUUUUGAUCUUAAAAAAAAUUUNGAAAAAGUUACUCUAGGGAUAACAGCAUAAUUUUUAUAAAAGUUCUUAUUAUAAUAAAAGUUUGUGACCUCGAUGUUNA
Molecule: ribosomal RNA, 402 nt
Filed under: Boeckella hamata
Lineage: Eukaryota; Metazoa; Arthropoda; Copepoda; Calanoida; Centropagidae
Description: partial 16S ribosomal RNA
Source: RNAcentral